Long non-coding RNA from Anguilla rostrata (American eel), 1831 nucleotides. RefSeq lists it as uncharacterized. The transcript is spliced from 2 exons. The record is from RefSeq and is a predicted model, not a curated record. Lineage: Eukaryota; Metazoa; Chordata; Actinopteri; Anguilliformes; Anguillidae.
UCUGUCAUUCCCCAGUGGUGUGUGAAAGUAUAUUGCCUGAUGCUGAUUGGAUAGCUUUUUAGUCUUUCACAAAACUUGAAACCGCCCAUCCCCUCAUCUCCUCCUCGCAUUACUCUGUUCUAUUUCCAUGCAGUAGCGGUCACUCAGUAUCAAGGGGUCCCGCUGGGGAUGAGUUGUCCCAAUAUUAAAUUUAAGCGGAUACAAUAGAAAGACUGAAGAGGACCAGAUUUUCGACAGUGCGAGAAAUUCACGCAAGAAAAUACGGAUUUGUUCAGUACAGUCCGCCAUACCGAAGACUCAGAAGCAAUGGCAGGGCUUUGGUCUGAAUGAAGACAGACAACCUGUUCAAGCCUGGAUCACAGAGCACUAAGUGGAUUGAAGGAGACGGAUGGACGAGAGAGAAGGAGGGAGAGAAGAGACGAGAGAUUACAGACUAAUCCAGGACUUGACCAAUCCCUGUCUAGCCUUUUUUUUUUUUUUGUUCAGGACGCGGACAAACAGUGCAGGGAUUACUGAGUUUAGUUUACUGCUUUUUAAAGAAUUAACAUUUUAUAGCAUCCGCUGUGUGCUUUGGGAGUCCCAGGAUCUUGGGGGGCUGCGUUUGCCAAGUUCUAAAACAAAAGAUCAGGAGGAGGAAGCUCCGUAGCAGGUGGGGCAGGUCGCCCAGAUAGACGGCGCAGAGCUUGGGUCAUCUGCCACGCAAGAGUGUCUCCCACAUCUGAAGUGUGUGGAGGGACACUGGACAGUGAAGUCAGAGCUCCUGUGGCCAUUUUGUUUCAAAGAACUUGCAACGAGGGAAUUGUCCCCUGGAAUACUACCCACCCGGAGCGGAAUUACGAGAAUAUACAGGGAUUCGGAACAACAGGACAGAACUGUUGUUCUUGUCUUUGGAGAUUUUUUUUUUUUUUUUUAGAUAAACGAAGACGGACUGGACAUCACUAACUCAUGCUUAAUGCUUUGGCCUCACAUUUUAUUUUGUAUCUCGAUGCUAUUUAGAUUGUAAUUUAGCACACAGAUGGGGUUGGGACGUGAACAUUAAGAUAAGAGACCUGCAAUAGCAUAAAAUCUCCUUGUGUGCUUUGGAAAAAAAGCUACUUUGGAAAGAACAGUGGUAGUCUGUUAAGUAAGCUGUUUUGGGUGCAUAUGUGGUAUGUUUAACGGUAAGCAACUUUUGGACUGUUUGGCUUUUGGAAACAUUUCUCUGACACCCACAGACAGAAGGGCUUUUUUUAUUGCUGAACCUGUUGUUUUGUGAAAAAGAUGAGACCAGCUGCUGGCUGUCUGUGCUUCUCAGAGUGUUUCCGUGGGAACUGGCCCAGGUGGAAAUGAAGGUACUGGACGAGAAUUAAGAGCAAACAAAAAAAAGUGCUUUAAAACCAUCAAAAUCCUAUUACAGUUCCCUAACAGCAUAUUUAUACAGUCAAACAAGUGAGCAGGCUUCCUGUGGGAAAGUAUAUGACAGCUACCACCAGUUGUGUGUAAAUGUAAAAAUACAUAUUCAUAUACAUUUCUUUUUUUAUACAGAUAUCCACACAAGGCAAGUUAACUGAAUUUUUAGUGUUUGUUGACAUAGGAAAUAUAUUUUCUCUGAAAACUAGGCUUUACUCUGCAUUUCAAAUAAUAUGGAAUCUUUAGGCAAAAUUUUGGAUGCUUGUAAACAAGGGUGUAAGCUGCAGGUCCAGACUAGCUGACAGUGUUAAACUAGGACAAAGGGCAGCUUUUGAAUCUAGAUUAAACAUUUCAGAUUAAAAUCUAAAACCUUUCAUCUAAAAAAAUGCAUAUGUCGUUUCGGAAGUGUAUGUUCUGUAACAGGAUGCAGAAUCAGAGAGUA